RNAcentral lists this ribosomal RNA (445 nucleotides) under Armatobalanus cf. cepa MM-2014. RNAcentral's name for it is "partial 16S ribosomal RNA". It matches the Rfam family "Bacterial large subunit ribosomal RNA", at positions 1933 to 2590 of the family's 2925-position model. The record is from RNAcentral. Lineage: Eukaryota; Metazoa; Arthropoda; Thecostraca; Balanomorpha; Balanidae.
GCAGUAUCCUAACUGUGCUAAGGUAGCAUAAUCAUUAGUUUUUUAAUUGAGGACUGGUAUGAAUGGCUAAACGAGAAAUCAACUUUUUUUGUUAUAUAAAUUGAAUUUAAUUUUUUAGUGAAAAAGCUAAAAUGUUUCAGAAAGACGAGAAGACCCUAUAGAGUUUUAUAUUUUAUAAAUUUUUUUCUAAUUAGAUUUUUUUGGAAUAAAUUUUAAAGAAUAUUUUGUUGGGGCGACAUUAAGAUAAAAAAAACUCUUUAUUUUUAAGAUUUUUAUAGAAAUAUAGUUUGAUCCUCUAAAAGAGAUCAAAAGAAAAAAUUACCUUAGGGAUAACAGCGUAAUCUUUUUUGAGAGUUCUAAUCGACAAAAAGGUUUGCGACCUCGAUGUUGGACUAAAAUUUAGGCAGGGUGCAGCAGUUCUGCUUUUAGGUCUGUUCGACCUAUA